ACAGAUAGCAGAGAGACCAAAAUCAAAAUAACAAGCCCAGGGAGGCCAUAAAGUUUAGGAAAUCUUACAGAAUUCAUGCUGUCAUGAAGUUUUUCUGGAAUUGCUGACAGUGUGGCCAAGCGGAAAGGGGUCCGAAUCUUGGUCUAGCCACUUACCAGCUGAUGACCUCAAUGAAUCAAUUACUUAUCCCCACCGAGCCUCAAUCUUCCUUCUGGAAAAUGGGGACAGAAGCACCUGCUCCUGGUGUUGAUCUAGAGACAGAAGAGAUCACACACACGCAGCACCACAGCUAAUGCCCUGCAUAUAACAGGUUUAUGUAAUCGAUACUGUGGCCAUAAGAGCAGGUGUUCUCAAACCGUGAUCCUUGGACCAGCAGCAUCAGCAUCACCUGGGAACUUGUUAGAAAUGCAGACACUUGGGCCCUAUCCCAGACCUCCUGGAUUAGAAACUCUAGGGCUGAGGCCCCACGAUCUCUUGACAAGGUUUCUGGGUGAUAUUGACAUGUGCAGCCUUGGGAAAAAUCCAGUCCCAGGAAUCCAGCAUUUGCCAGUUGAGUUUAUACCUUGGUUCUUUUCCAUGAGCCUCAGUCUAAAGGGAGGAGGUAAUUCAUGCCAAGCAUCUGACAUGCUUCAGGGAUGCAGAUCUUC
Molecule: long non-coding RNA, 647 nt
Organism: Bos taurus (domestic cattle)
Lineage: Eukaryota; Metazoa; Chordata; Mammalia; Artiodactyla; Bovidae
Source: Ensembl